Molecule: ribosomal RNA, 483 nt
Filed under: uncultured bacterium
Lineage: Bacteria
Description: partial 16S ribosomal RNA
Rfam family: Bacterial small subunit ribosomal RNA
Source: RNAcentral
GACGAACGCUGGCGGCGUGCUUAACACAUGCAAGUCGAACGAUGAAGCCGGAGCUUGCUCCGGUGGAUUAGUGGCGAACGGGUGAGUAACACGUGAGCAAUCUGCCCUUGACUCUGGGAUAACUGCGGGAAACUGUAGCUAAUACCGGAUACGACACCUUGGGGCAUCCCAGGGUGUGGAAAGAAUUUCGGUCAAGGAUGAGCUCGCGGCCUAUCAGCUAGUUGGUGAGGUAAUGGCUCACCAAGGCGACGACGGGUAGCCGGCCUGAGAGGGUGACCGGCCAAACUGGAACUGAGACACGGUCCAGACUCCUACGGGAGGCAGCAGUGGGGAAUAUUGCACAAUGGGCGAAAGCCUGAUGCAGCAACGCCGCGUGAGGGAUGAAGGCCUUCGGGUUGUAAACCUCUUUUAGCAGGGAAGAAGCGAAAGUGACGGUACCUGCAGAAAAAGCACCGGCUAACUACGUGCCAGCAGCCGCAGUAA